AGAGUUUGAUCCUGGCUCAGGACGAACGCUGGCGGCGCGCUUAGCACAUGCAAGUCGAACGGAGCGAUACGGAUGAAGCCUUCGGGCAGAUUCUGUUGAACUUAGUGGCGAACGGGUGAGUAACGCGUGAGCAACCGGUCCCAAAGAGGGGGACAACUUUGAGAAAUCAAGGCUAAUACCGCGUAAGACCACACUGCCGCAUGGCAGAGGGGUCAAAGGAGAGAUCCGCUUUGGGGAGGGCUCGCGUCUGAUUAGGCAGUUGGUGAGGUAACGGCUCACCAAACCGACGAUCAGUAGCCGUGCUGAGAGGCAGGCCGGCCACACUGGAACUGAGACACGGUCCAGACUCCUACGGGAGGCAGCAGUGGGGAAUCUUGGGCAAUGGGCGAAAGCCUGACCCAGCGACGCCGCGUGGAGGAAGAAGGUCUUCGGAUUGUAAACUCUUGUGACAGGGGACGAAGAAAAUGACGGUACCCUGAGAGGAAGCCCCGGCUAACUACGUGCCAGCAGCCGCGGUAAUACGUAGGGGGCGAGCGUUGUCCGGAAUUACUGGGCGUAAAGGGCGCGUAGGCGGUCCAUUAAGUCUGUUGUGAAAUCCCGAGGCCUAACUUCGGAAGUGCAAUGGAAACUGGCGGACUUGAGUACGGCAGAGGCAAGUGGAAUUCCCAGUGUAGCGGUGAAAUGCACAGAGAUUGGGAGGAACACCAGUGGCGAAGGCGACUUGCUGGGCCGAAACUGACGCUGAGGCGCGAAAGCGUGGGGAGCAAACAGGAUUAGAUACCCUGGUAGUCCCGACCUUAAACGGUGCACACUCGGGGUGGGGCCAUUUCACCGGUCCCGUCCCUUAGCUAACGCGUUAAGUGUGCCGCCUGGGGAGUACGGCCGCAAGGCUAAAACUCAAAGAAAUUGACGGGGGCCCGCACAAGCAGAGGAGCAUGUGGCUUAAUUCGAUGCAACGCGAAGAACCUUACCUGGAUUUGACAUCGUGGGCAAAGGCCUAUGAAAGUAGGCUGGAGGUUAUCCCAUAGACAGGUGCUGCAUGGCUGUCGUCAGUUCGUGCCGUGAGGUGUUUGGUUAAGUCCACCAACGAACGCAACCCCUUUGGUAUGUUGCCAUCAGGUAACGCUGGGAACUCGUACCAUACUGCCUGUUUACGCAGGAGGAAGGUGGGGAUGACGUCAAGUCAGUAUGGCCCUUACAUCCAGGGCUGCACACGUGCUACAAUGGCCGGUACAGAGGGACGCGAGACCGCAAGGUGGAGCCAAUCCCAGAGAGCCGGCCCCAGUUCAGAUCGGGGUCUGCAACCCGACCCCGUGAAGUCGGAUUUGCUAGUAACGGCGUAUCAGCUACGACGCCGUGAAUGCGUUCCCGGGCCUUGCACACACCGCCCGUCA
RNAcentral lists this ribosomal RNA (1394 nucleotides) under uncultured bacterium. RNAcentral's name for it is "bacterial SSU rRNA". It matches the Rfam family "Bacterial small subunit ribosomal RNA". The record is from RNAcentral.